RNAcentral lists this ribosomal RNA (329 nucleotides) under Epiplatys chaperi (toothed carp). RNAcentral describes it as "partial 12S ribosomal RNA". It matches the Rfam family "Bacterial small subunit ribosomal RNA", at positions 868 to 1360 of the family's 1533-position model. The record is from RNAcentral. Lineage: Eukaryota; Metazoa; Chordata; Actinopteri; Cyprinodontiformes; Nothobranchiidae.
UCCGCCAGGGGACUACAAGCACUAGCUUGAAACCCAAAGGACUUGGCGGUGCUUUAGACCCACCUAGAGGAGCCUGUUCUAUAACCGAUAACCCCCGUUAAACCUCACCUCUUCUUGUUAAUUUACCGCCUAUAUACCGCCGUCGUCAGCUUACCUUGUGAAAGAACAAUAGUAAACAAAAAUGGUUUAUACCCAAAACGUCAGGUCGCGGUGUAGCGAAUGAAGAGGGAAGAAAUGGGCUACAUUUCCUGAAACAGGAAACUACGAAAUAUAUAAUGAAAAAAAUAUAUGAAGGAGGAUUUAGCAGUAAAUGGAAAACAGAGUGUUCC